GUAUACAGCCAUAACACCCUGAACACGCCCCAUCUCGUCUGAUCUCGGAAGCUAAACAGGGUUGGGCCUGGUUAGUACUUGGAUGGGAGAAAAGCUUCUUGGACACAGAGGUACUUGACAUG
This 122-nucleotide ribosomal RNA is filed under the name Bos taurus (domestic cattle). The record is from RNAcentral. Lineage: Eukaryota; Metazoa; Chordata; Mammalia; Artiodactyla; Bovidae. RNAcentral also lists the same sequence under 3 other names.